AUAGCAUAUAUUAAAGUUGUUGCAGUUAAAAAGCUCGUAGUUGGAUUUCUGGGAGGGUGCCAAUGUCCGUUUGAUACGUGUGCAGCGGUGCCCUUCCAUCCUUCUGUUAACGUUUCUUGGUAUUAACUUACUGGUUGCGGGCUCAGAUAUUUUACCUUGAGAAAAUUAGAGUGUUUCAGGCAGGCUUGCGCCCGAAUACAUUAGCAUGGAAUAAUAGAAUAGGACUUUGGUCUCCUUUGUUGGUUUGAGGGACUGGAGUAAUGAUUAAUAGGGACAGUUGGGGGCAUUAGUAUUUAAUUGUCAGAGGUGAAAUUCUCGGAUUUAUUGAAGACUAACUACUG
RNAcentral lists this ribosomal RNA (341 nucleotides) under uncultured eukaryote. RNAcentral describes it as "bacterial SSU rRNA". It matches the Rfam family "Eukaryotic small subunit ribosomal RNA", at positions 594 to 945 of the family's 1831-position model. The record is from RNAcentral.